RNAcentral lists this ribosomal RNA (422 nucleotides) under uncultured archaeon. RNAcentral's name for it is "partial 16S ribosomal RNA". It matches the Rfam family "Archaeal small subunit ribosomal RNA", at positions 323 to 746 of the family's 1478-position model. The record is from RNAcentral.
CUACGGGGUGCUGCAGGCGAGAAAACUUUGCAAUGUGCGAAAGCACGACAAGGUUAAUCCGAGUGGUUUCUGCUAAAGGAACCUUUUGUCGGUCCUAGAAACACCGAUGAAUAAGGGGUGGGCAAGUUCUGGUGUCAGCCGCCGCGGUAAAACCAGCACCUCAAGUUGUCAGGAUGAUUAUUGGGCCUAAAGCAUCCGUAGCCGGCUCUGUAAGUUUUCGGUUAAAUCUGUACGCUUAACGUACAGGCUGCCGGGAAUACUGCAUAGCUAGGGAGUGGGAGAGGUAGACGGUACUCGGUAGGAAGGGGUAAAAUCCUUUGAUCUAUUGAUGACCACCUGUGGCGAAGGCGGUCUACCAGAACACGUCCGACGGUGAGGGAUGAAAGCUGGGGGAGCAAACCGGAUUAGAUACCCGAGUAGUC